Molecule: long non-coding RNA, 500 nt
Organism: Lolium rigidum
Lineage: Eukaryota; Viridiplantae; Streptophyta; Magnoliopsida; Poales; Poaceae
Exons: 3
Source: RefSeq, a predicted model, not a curated record
UGAAGAAGCAAAUCAAGCACCCUUGUGUCUUGUGUGAACUUUGUUUACCUAGGUUACCGUGGAUCUUAGACUACUUCAGCUGGUAUGAGGUUGAAAGAAGGUAGUCAUACUAAUCGAAGUCUGCUAACACAGGGAAAGGUUGUUCACCAACUCAGAUGAAGAAUAAGCAGACAACCGCCUUACUGUUUGGAUCAAGGAAUCGCUCCUCAUUUGAAGACGAAACAAACAUGGUAAUUGCAAAUUACUUUUAUUUUCAAUCUAAUCCAGAUGUGCCGGUCUAUGCAGAUUUCAGAAUAGCACUGGUGUCACCUCGACAAAAUACUCGAAUUGUAUUUGAGAAAUAAAUGGUCAUGAAUUGAAUUUUCACUACCAUUUUGUGUGCUUGACUUGAUACAGCUCCGAGGGUGGUGCUUUAUAAUACUGUGAUGAACCUAUUUUGCUAUCCUCAUAAGCACAUGGUGAAGUUUGUAUUAUGUUUUAGUGCCAUUGAUGGUCUGUAG